GUCCUGGUAGCUCAGUUGGUAGAGCGCACGGCUGUUAACCGUGAAGUCGUAGGUUCGAGUCCUACCCGGGACG
This 73-nucleotide transfer RNA is filed under the name Nanobdellota archaeon. RNAcentral's name for it is "tRNA-Asn". It matches the Rfam family "tRNA". From Rfam's summary of the family: Transfer RNA (tRNA) molecules are approximately 80 nucleotides in length. Their secondary structure includes four short double-helical elements and three loops (D, anti-codon, and T loops). Further hydrogen bonds mediate the characteristic L-shaped molecular structure. tRNAs have two regions of fundamental functional importance: the anti-codon, which is responsible for specific mRNA codon recognition, and the 3' end, to which the tRNAs corresponding amino acid is attached (by aminoacyl-tRNA synthetases). tRNAs cope with the degeneracy of the genetic code in two manners: having more than one tRNA (with a specific anti-codon) for a particular amino acid; and 'wobble' base-pairing, i.e. permitting non-standard base-pairing at the 3rd anti-codon position. The record is from RNAcentral. RNAcentral also lists the same sequence under 1 other name. Lineage: Archaea; Nanobdellati; Nanobdellota.